ACGGUCUCCGCGCUCGCUCGUCCAUUUGUGAACAAAGGAGGCCGUGAUUUUGCGUCGUAUGGGGUAAGCUGUGUGAUCGAAGUGUGUGAUUAAGCUUCACUUGUAUUCACACCAUGACUGUUGGCUUUUGUUGUUUGUUUGGAGCAGCGGCUGCAGUGUUGCGUCCCGUCAGGCCAUGAAAGAAGGAAGGAGGAUAUGAUUUUGCGUCGUAAUGGGUUUUUGUUGUUUGUUCAGAGCAGCGGCUGCAGUGUUGCGUCCCGUCAGGCUCUACUUUGUUGAACACUAAGCUGGGUGAACCAACUUUGUUGUUGCUAUGACCGUAUUACUCAGUUUUACUCACUUGUGUUUGAACGUUACUAAUUUGCGAUUGCACGCCCUAUUUCAGACACAUAUCUCUCCAGCGCUUCAGAGACGUCGCUGGCGCCGAAAUUCUAGCUGUUUCACCGUGGGUCGCCAGAAGAACAGCAGAUCAUUGACUGUCAAUUGUGCGACGCGACACUAUGUGGCACGAAGGAUGUGUACGUGUGAAAUACGUAACUACUGUGUGCGCGGGUUGUUUUGUAUGAUUGUAUCGACACUGGAUACCACUUUCAAGGUAUGCAUUUUCGGAAUAAAGUAGAUACAUAUAUAAUUUUGCAGUACUUCAUUUCGUGUAUUUUAUGCGUGUUGCGAGUAAGUGAACAUAUGCACUCUUACAAAUGAACUUCACCGCAUAGCAUGCUCCUAGCCGACCAUCAACUCGAAUGAUAUCGCUAUGUGACCUGAUUUGUUCAAAACGGUAGGCGCACGGCUUUUUUGUGAUACUUACGCUGUUCAUAAUUGUCACAAAAAUGGCGUACACCUCCCGUUUUCA
Molecule: long non-coding RNA, 853 nt
Organism: Ornithodoros turicata
Lineage: Eukaryota; Metazoa; Arthropoda; Arachnida; Ixodida; Argasidae
Exons: 4
Source: RefSeq, a predicted model, not a curated record